AGAGCGAACGCUGGCGGCAGGCCUAACAUAUGCAAGUCGAGCGCCCCGCAAGGGGAGCGGCAGACGGGAGAGUAACACGUGGGAACGUGCCCUUUGGUUCGGAACAACACAGGGAAACUUGUGCUAAUACCGGAUAAGCCCUUACGGGGAAAGAUUUAUCGCCAAAGGAUCGGCCCGCGUCUGAUUAGCUAGUUGGUGAGGUAACGGCUCACCAAGGCUACGAUCAGUAGCUGGUCUGAGAGGAUGAUCAGCCUCACUGGGACUGAGACACGGCCCAGACUCCUACGGGAGGCAGCAGUGGGGAAUAUUGGACAAUGGGCGCAAGCCUGAUCCAGCCAUGCCGCGUGGGUGAUGAAGGCCCUAGGGUUGUAAAGCCCUUUCGGCGGGAAGAUAAUGACGGUACCGCAGAAGAAGCCCGGCUAACUCGUGCCAGCAGCCGC
Molecule: ribosomal RNA, 440 nt
Filed under: uncultured bacterium
Lineage: Bacteria
Description: SSU rRNA
Rfam family: Bacterial small subunit ribosomal RNA
Source: RNAcentral